Molecule: unclassified non-coding RNA, 378 nt
Filed under: plant metagenome
Description: partial contains 5.8S ribosomal RNA, internal transcribed spacer 2, and large subunit ribosomal RNA
Rfam family: 5.8S ribosomal RNA (bases 1-105)
Source: RNAcentral
GAAAUGCGAUAAGUAAUGUGAAUUGCAGAAUUCAGUGAAUCAUCGAAUCUUUGAACGCACCUUGCGCUCCUUGGUAUUCCUUGGAGCAUGCCUGUUUGAGUAUCAUGAAAUCUUCAAAGUAAAUCUUUUGUUAACUCAAUUGGUUUCUACUUUGGUAUUGGAGGUCUUUGCAGCUUCACACCUGCUCCUCUUUGUUCAUUAGCUGGAUCUCAGUGUUAUGCUUGGUUCCACUCGGCGUGAUAAGUUAUCUAUCGCUGAGGACACUGUAAAAGGUGGCCAAGGUAAAUGCAGAUUAACCGCUUCUAAUAGUCCAUUGACUUGGACAAUACUUUUAUGAUCUGAUCUCAAAUCAGGUAGGACUAUCCGCUGAACUUAAGC